This 491-nucleotide ribosomal RNA is filed under the name uncultured bacterium. Its description in RNAcentral is "partial 16S ribosomal RNA". It matches the Rfam family "Bacterial small subunit ribosomal RNA", at positions 29 to 507 of the family's 1533-position model. The record is from RNAcentral.
AGUGAACGCUGGCGGUAGGCCUAACACAUGCAAGUCGAACGGCAGCACAGUAAGAGCUUGCUCUUACGGGUGUCGAGUGGCGGACGGGUGAGGAAUACAUCGGAAUCUACUUUUUCGUGGGGAUAACGUAGGGAAACUUACGCUAAUACCGCAUACGACCUACGGGUGAAAGCAGGGGAUCUUCGGACCUUGCGCGAUUGAAUGAGCCGAUGUCGGAUUAGCUAGUUGGCGGGGUAAAGGCCCACCAGGGCGACGAUCCGUAGCUGGUCUGAGAGGAUGAUCAGCCACACGGGAAGUGAGAAACGGUCCAGACUCCUACGGGAGGCAGCAGUGGGGAAUAUUGGACAAGGGGCGCAAGCCUGAUCCAGCCAUACCGCGGGGGUGAAGAAGGCGUUCGGGUGGUAAAGACAUUUUGUUGGGAAAGAAAAGCAGCAGGUUAAUACCCCGCUGUUCUGACGGUACCCAAAGAAUAAGCACCGGCUAACUUCGUG